GCGGCCGUGGUCUAGCCUGGUUAGGACCCAGGCUCCCCGGGCCUGUGGCGCGGGUUCGAAUCCCGCCGGCCGCA
RNAcentral lists this transfer RNA (74 nucleotides) under Hadesarchaea archaeon. RNAcentral's name for it is "tRNA-Gly". It matches the Rfam family "tRNA". From Rfam's summary of the family: Transfer RNA (tRNA) molecules are approximately 80 nucleotides in length. Lineage: Archaea; Methanobacteriati; Hadarchaeota (SeqCode); Hadarchaeia (SeqCode). RNAcentral also lists the same sequence under 1 other name. The record is from RNAcentral.